CCUACGGGGGGCAGCAGUGAGGAAUAUUGGUCAAUGGGCGAGAGCCUGAACCAGCCAAGUCGCGUGAAGGAUGACGGCCCUACGGGUUGUAAACUUCUUUUGUCAGGGAGCAAUUGAGUCCACGUGUGGUCUUAGCGAGAGUACCUGAAGAAAAAGCAUCGGCUAACUCCGUGCCAGCAGCCGCGGUAAUAGGGAGGAUGCGAGCGUUAUCCGGAUUUAUGGGGUUUAAAGGGUGCGUAGGCGGAAUAUCAAGUCAGCGGUAAAAAUUCGGGGCUCAACCCCGUCGUGCCGUUGAAACUGAUGUUCUUGAGUGGGCGAGAAGUAUGCGGAAUGCGUGGUGUAGCGGUGAAAUGCUUAGAUAUUGCGCAGAACUCCGAUUGCGAAGGCAGCAUACCGGCGGCGAUCUGACGCUGAGGCACGAAAGCGCGGGUAUCGAACAGGAUUAGAUACCCGAGUAGUC
Molecule: ribosomal RNA, 460 nt
Filed under: uncultured bacterium
Lineage: Bacteria
Description: partial 16S ribosomal RNA
Rfam family: Bacterial small subunit ribosomal RNA
Source: RNAcentral